UGGCGUAUGCCGUCGUCACCUGCCAGUCGAGCGGACAGAAGGGAGCUUGCUCCCGGAUGUUAGCGGCGGACGGGUGAGUAACACGUGGGUAACCUGCCUGUAAGACUGGGAUAACUCCGGGAAACCGGAGCUAAUACCGGAUAGUUCCUUGAACCGCAUGGUUCAAGGAUGAAAGACGGUUUCGGCUGUCACUUACAGAUGGACCCGCGGCGCAUUAGCUAGUUGGUGAGGUAACGGCUCACCAAGGCGACGAUGCGUAGCCGACCUGAGAGGGUGAUCGGCCACACUGGGACUGAGACACGGCCCAGACUCCUACGGGAGGCAGCAGUAGGGAAUCUUCCGCAAUGGACGAAAGUCUGACGGAGCAACGCCGCGUGAGUGAUGAAGGUUUUCGGAUCGUAAAGCUCUGUUGUUAGGGAAGAACAAGUGCAAGAGUAACUGCUUGCACCUUGACGGUACCUAACCAGAAAGCCACGGCUAACUACGUGCCAGCAGCCGCGGUAAUACGUAGGUGGCAAGCGUUGUCCGGAAUUAUUGGGCGUAAAGGGCUCGCAGGCGGUUUCUUAAGUCUGAUGUGAAAGCCCCCGGCUCAACCGGGGAGGGUCAUUGGAAACUGGGAAACUUGA
This 626-nucleotide ribosomal RNA is filed under the name Bacillus pumilus. RNAcentral's name for it is "bacterial SSU rRNA". It matches the Rfam family "Bacterial small subunit ribosomal RNA", at positions 40 to 645 of the family's 1533-position model. Lineage: Bacteria; Bacillati; Bacillota; Bacilli; Caryophanales; Bacillaceae. The record is from RNAcentral.